AAUAUUGGACAAUGGGCGCAAGCCUGAUCCAGCAAUGCCGCGUGUGUGAAGAAGGCCUGCGGGUUGUAAAGCACUUUCAGUGGGGAGGAAGGCCUCAGCGCUAAUAACGCUGAGGAUUGACGUUACCCACAGAAGAAGCACCGGCUAACUCUGUGCCAGCAGCCGCGGUAAUACAGAGGGUGCAAGCGUUAAUCGGAAUUACUGGGCGUAAAGGGUGCGUAGGUGGUUUUUUAAGUCAGAUGUGAAAUCCCUGGGCUUAACCUAGGAAUUGCAUUUGAUACUGAAUAACUGGAGUACGGGAGAGGGAAGUGGAAUUUCCGGUGUAGCGGUGAAAUGCGUAGAUAUCGGAAGGAACACCAGUGGCGAAGGCGACUUCCUGGCCCGUUACUGACACUGAGGCACGAAAGCGUGGGGAGCGAAC
Molecule: ribosomal RNA, 421 nt
Filed under: uncultured bacterium
Lineage: Bacteria
Description: bacterial SSU rRNA
Rfam family: Bacterial small subunit ribosomal RNA
Source: RNAcentral